GUGCAACUGGUGACUGGAGAAAGAAAUCGGAGAAGAGGCUUACCGACAUAUCAGUUGAGGAGAUUGCAUCAAGAAACGAUGCAAUGCAGAGGAAUUCAAGGAUAUCUCAGAUUCAUGGAAGUAGUUCUGAACAGGUUGCUGGUUCCUCCACAAAAUAUGAUGACAUAAAACAAGAAUCAGCCUCGAUUACAAAGUUUGAGGGAAAAACAACUGGACAACAUGAGCAAGCAGGACAAUCUAAU
RNAcentral lists this unclassified non-coding RNA (242 nucleotides) under Hevea brasiliensis (rubber tree). The record is from RNAcentral. Lineage: Eukaryota; Viridiplantae; Streptophyta; Magnoliopsida; Malpighiales; Euphorbiaceae.